RNAcentral lists this RNase P RNA (369 nucleotides) under Acidimicrobiaceae bacterium. RNAcentral's name for it is "RNase P RNA component class A". It matches the Rfam family "Bacterial RNase P class A". Rfam says of the family: Ribonuclease P (RNase P) is a ubiquitous endoribonuclease, found in archaea, bacteria and eukarya as well as chloroplasts and mitochondria. The record is from RNAcentral. Lineage: Bacteria; Bacillati; Actinomycetota; Acidimicrobiia; Acidimicrobiales; Acidimicrobiaceae.
UGAGUUGGCCGGGUGACCGCAGUGUUGCUUGCAGCAUUGAGGAAGGUCGGGGCUCCAUAGGGCAACGGUGCUGGCUAACGGCCAGUCGAGGUGACUCGCAGGACAGUGCCACAGAAAUCAGACCGCCGAUGGCUCAGCUUCUUGCUGGAAGAUGAACACAGGUAAGGGUGAAACGGUGCGGUAAGAGCGCACCAGCAUUCCGGGUGACCGGAGUGGCUAGGUAAACCCCACUGGGAGCAAACUCAGAAGCGAGGUAGUGGCGGCCCGCCCGCAACGCAAGUUGCGCCUCCAGGUAGAGCGCUUAGAUGGAUGGUCACACAAGGAGUUUCGACUCCUGGACAGAACCCCGCCUAUAGGCCGACUCACCGU